Non-coding RNA from Odocoileus virginianus texanus, 1765 nucleotides. NCBI's taxonomy places the organism in Eukaryota, Metazoa, Chordata, Mammalia, Artiodactyla, Cervidae. The record is from RefSeq and is a predicted model, not a curated record.
GUAAAAUUAACGGGAAAUAGAGGUGUUCAGAGACUUAACACGUCUCUGGAGUGUUCGUUUUUUCUUUUUUGUAUUUUUAACAGUAUAAGCACUUAGUGUUGGAAGAGAGAAACCAGUGUUCUUUUUAAAGAAGGAAAACAAAAACUCAACCUUGUGGGCAACAGGAGGAAAGUCACACUGGCCAGCGGGCAGCACCCUGCGUUGGCAGAGGAGAAAUCUGAGCUCCAGCGGCACCGGCGGCAUUUGCACAGAGCCACAGCCUCCCGUUUCAAGUUGCAAGUCUCUGGAGUCCCAGGCAAGGCCCCAGCCUGGCUCCCUUCUCAGAGCCCCGAGAACUGAUGAGGAGCCCCUGCACCAACCACAGGACACGCAGAGGGACCUGACAGAACAGAAUCUGUCUUCUUCCUUACAAGAUCUCCUCCUCCAGUUCCCUCCUUCAUCCUGUAACGGCUGCUUCCAGCUCCCGGGAGAGAAUCACUGAGGAGCUCGAAUAGGACUGUGAACAAGCAUGACCCUUCUGAAGACAUGCCAGCAGACCCUGAUAGUUGAGCAGAACGUGAUGCUCAACGCUGCACUCAUCAGGACAGUGAGGGUAUUUGGGCACUAAACACAGAGUGCAGAGUCCAUUGGAGAGAUGGCCGAGCAGGAUCAGCAUGGACAGGCCUGAGAUGGAGUCCAGGCCCCAUGAAUUCCUUCUUCAUGGUCUUAGCAGGAAACUCCUGGGACCCUGUGAAACCAUACAGCUCCCCAGAGACACUUACAGAGAACACAACCAACAAAGCUCCAGGACAUAGCUUAUUGAUCAAAGCCGCUGAAGUCAUUCCCAGAGCCUGAGAAAUCUUCAUAAAAUUAGCAGCUGGGGGUUGGAAUGGGUGUUGGUUCUAAGAAGGCAUUUCCCUAUGGAUGGCUGCACACACUCAGAUGAAAAGACAGCCUCGCUGAUAGUGUUGGGUGGGGUAGCAUGUUCUUUUCUCAAAUGUUCUGUGGAAGUAGCAUGGAUAAAACAAAGAACACUGGGUCUGCAUGCAUGCUACCUGAAUGGAUGGAUUCAGAUCUAAGAACCUGAGCAAUCCAUGUUGCUUGCCUGGGCCUGUUUCCUCAUCUAUAACAAAAAGACAUGAGUGGUGGUUCAGCCUACCAUUUGGUGCUACAAAAGUGAGAAGGAUAAUUAUUGUUGUUAAUACUUUUCUGAAUGUUUCAGGAUUCUGCACGGAGAUACCAUGAAACCAUUUUAUAUCACACACUGAAAACUGAAAUAUACCAAAAAAGCUGCACCAAGUUAGGAUUUGGAACAGAAAUUAUUUACAAAAUAGGCAAUGCUACUGGGCAUGUUUUGGUCUUCAAUUAAAUUCUUUUUAAACUCUGGCUCCAUGGUGUAAUGGUUUUGGAAUUAGUAAUAAUAAAACAUUAGUUACACCAGUGAGUAAUGGUUUUAUUUAAAACAAGAUGAAAUGUUAACCCAGUGAUGCCCAGAACCAAACAUAAGGCCUCUAAGUGAAUGUUAGAGGCCAUUGGUGGGGUCAUUGCUAGUAACCGUUAGGUGGAGGGCUGAGAUAUACACAGCACAGCUCCCUGCAUCUCACCUCAUUAUUUCACCUUGCUGUUUUAUCUGUGUCUUAAAAUCCUUUUGGAAGCACUCAAUAUUGACCUUUUUUUUUUUUUUUUAACACUGGCAGAGACACUGGGAUUCAGAAAAAUUGAUUUGGUCAAAGUCUCAUGGCUUGCAGGGGUGCAGGAUCUGAUAUGAGGUGUCAGCUGGGGCAGG